AUGACCUCCCAGAGAGACAGUUUAAAGAAGAGUAGAAGUCUAGCGCUGAGCCUUGUGAUGCCACAAUAGCUAAAGGCCAAGUGGAGGAAGGACCAAAGGAAACCAGUUAGGAAGCUGUUUAAUAAUCCAGGCAAGUGCCAGUGAAAAUCUGAUCUGGCAUGAUGACAGUAGGACCGCAAAGAAAGGGAAGAAUAAAAAGAACGUUAUUAUUUAUUUUUUUAACACAAAGGAAACCAGCUAGUAUGUUUGUGGUGUAAUCAAGGAACUGGUAACUUUACAAAGCUCUACCGUUGGUGUCAAUGAGCAGCCAGAUGUGAGAACUGUUGGUCUAGGGGACCCAUUUCAACUCCAUUCCAGCUCAGUGAUUUAAGUGACAUUAAUUGAAGUUGAAGAUAUUCAAAAUAUUACUUUCCUUAUGCAAUCAGCAGAUGAAACUGGUCUAUGUAUGAGUGCUCCUCAAACGUACUUAGGAUUGAUCCGAUGAAGUGAUAGAAGUUUAAAACCAAAGCCUUGGAAAGAUAAUUGAUCUUCCUUACCAUAUUAUUGUGAAAGAAUGUGGCAAUAUUGAAGAAUUUUCUAACAAAAGAAGCUGGAAUGAGGCAAGGAGAAAUCAGCUGACCAGAGGCAGUAUCACAAGACACUGUGUGUAAUCUAAAGAGAAAUGUGACCCUGAAAUGGAAAGGAGAGGACAAGAGAGAUUGUGUGACUUAAAAUGAGAAUAUAAAGGGCAGCCUCCAAAAUUUUCUAUUCGUGGCAUUUUCAUUAGAGAGAAGUUAUCAACAACAAUAAAAUUGAGCCAAAUAUGCACAAA
Long non-coding RNA from Gorilla gorilla gorilla (western lowland gorilla), 811 nucleotides. RefSeq lists it as uncharacterized. The transcript has 2 exons. The record is from RefSeq and is a predicted model, not a curated record. NCBI's taxonomy places the organism in Eukaryota, Metazoa, Chordata, Mammalia, Primates, Hominidae.